UACGUAGGGUGCAAGCGUUGUCCGGAAUUAUUGGGCGUAAAGAGCUCGUAGGCGGUUUGUCGCGUCGAAUGUGAAAACCCGGGGCUCAACCCCGGGCCUGCAUUCGAUACGGGCAGACUAGAGUUCGGUAGGGGAGUCUGGAAUUCCUGGUGUAGCGGUGAAAUGCGCAGAUAUCAGGAGGAACACCGGUGGCGAAGGCGGAUCUCUGGGCCGAUACUGACGCUGAGGAGCGAAAGCGUGGGGAGCGAACAGG
This 253-nucleotide ribosomal RNA is filed under the name uncultured bacterium. RNAcentral describes it as "partial 16S ribosomal RNA". It matches the Rfam family "Bacterial small subunit ribosomal RNA", at positions 524 to 776 of the family's 1533-position model. The record is from RNAcentral.